Molecule: long non-coding RNA, 324 nt
Filed under: Trifolium pratense (red clover)
Lineage: Eukaryota; Viridiplantae; Streptophyta; Magnoliopsida; Fabales; Fabaceae
Description: long non-coding RNA (TPRA_LNC008219)
Source: RNAcentral
UCCCAACCACACAUACAAAUCCAUAAAAUCAAUAGUCAUACAAAGUGACAAACACAAUAUCUCAACCAACAAACAAACUAAACUUAGUUGGUGUAAAUUUUUAGAAUCUCAAGAGAUUGGCAACCAUUAUGUUAUACAACAAUAACACUAAGAAAAACAAAUCAAAUAUAUGUCUAACAAAUUGAAAGUAAAGUCUACACCAAAAAAACCUAUUUGGUGAAGAUCCUUCCAAAUCUUCAGUGACAACCUGAAAAUUUAUACACAAGAAAGAUUGGUGAAGAUCCCAAUAAGAUAUAAAACACUAAAUGAAUAACUCAAAUCGUU